AAGCAAUCGAAGAAGAAAGAGAAGAAACCAGCUACUGCAGCGUUCAGGCAACAAGUGAACAUCAUUAUGAAGCCGGAGCCUUCAUCGCAAUCCUCAACGGUGGCGGCAGAAUCUAGCAUGAGCUCACAAAGGGAAGACCGCGGCGUCGUCCGGCACUUUAAGACAUCGCUGUUGUUCUUGUACUUUAUCGGCGUGGAGCCAGGGAGGACUAGGACCUGGAUUGGUGACGGCGCUGCUUAGCUAAGCGUAGCCAUUCGUUUAGCAGCCGACAAACGACGGUGAGUCUAAUAGGAGCUCACAAAAGGAAGACCGCAGCGAUGACCAGCCCUAUAGGGCAUCGCUGUUGUUCUUGUGCCUGAUCGGAGUGGUGCCAUGGAGGACUAGUAGCUAGACGGGAGAGGGCGCUGCUUAGCUACUCGUAGUCAUCGCCCUCUCAAGCAAAAAACGAGGGAGAACCUAACUUGAGCUCACAAAAGGAAGACCGCGGCGAUGACCGGCGCUAUAUGGCAUCGCUGUUGUUCUUGUGCCUUAUCGGAGUGGUGCCGGGAGAACUAGGAGCUGGAUUGGCCACGACGCUGCUUAGCUCAUCGUAGUUAUCCGCUUAUCUACCGACAAACGACGGAGAUCCUAACAGGAACUCACAAAAGGAAGACCGCAGCGAUGGCCGGCCCUAUAUGGCAUCGCUGUUGUUCUUGUGCCUUAUCGGAGUGAAGCCAUGGAGGACUAGUCGCUGGACUGGUGAGGGCGCUGCUUAGCUACUCGUAUUCAUCGCUCUCUCAAGCAAAAAAUGAGGUAGAAUCUAACUUGAGCUCACAAAAGGAAGACCGCGGCGAUGACCGGCGCCAUAUGGCAUCGCUGUUGUUCUUGUGCCUUAUCGGAGUGGUGCCGGGAGGACUAGGAGCUCGAUUGGUCACGACGCUGCUUAGCUCAUCGUAGUGAUCCGUUUAUCUACCGACAAACGACGGAGAAUCUAACGAGAGCUCACAAAAGGAAGACCGCGGCGAUGACCGGUGCCGUAUGGCAUCGCUGUUGUUCUUGUGCCUUAUCGGAGUGGUGCCGGGAGGACUAGGAGCUACAUUGGUGACGGCGCUGCUUAGCUCAUCGUAUUCAUCCGUUUAUCUACUGGAAAAUGCCGCAGAACCUUUCAGGAACUCACAAAAGGAAGACCGCGACGAUGUCCGGCCCUAUAUGGCAUCGCUGUUGUUCUUGUGCCUUAUCGGAGUGGUGCCAUGGAUGACUACUAGUUGGACUGGUGAGGGCGCUGCUUAGCUACUCGUAGUCAUCAGCCUCUCCAGAGAAAAACGGGGGAGAAUCUAACGAGAGCUCACAAAAGGAAGACCGCGGUGAUGACCGGCGCCAUAUGGCAUCGCUGUUGUUCUUGUGCCUUAUCGGAGUGGUGCCGGGAUGACUAGGAGGUUGAUUGGUCACGACGCUGCUUAGCUAAUCGUAGCCAUCCGUUUAUCUACCGACAAAUGACCUGGUCCGCAAGUCCGCCGCCCUCCGCAGGGACAAUCUAACAGGAGCUCACAAAAGGAACACCGCGGCGUCGUCCGGUGCUAUAUGACAUCGCUGUUGUUCUUGUGUCUUAUCGGAUGGUGCCUGGAGGAAUAGUAGCUGGAUUGGUGACUUGCGCUCCUUAGUUGCUCGUAGUCAGCGACCUCUGCACCGACAAACGAGAGUACAGCCAAUGCUCCUGCGGGCACGACGAUUGAAUGCAAGGUCUAGGCACAGUGGCUGAGGCUGAAAGUGGACCAGAAAUAUGUCCUUGCCACGACUUUACCAGUUAGUGUGCGGUGAUUACAAAGAGAAAGACAAUUUAUCAAAAGCUCGUCAGGGUUACAGUCCCUCUGGCGGCUGUAAUGUGGUGCGAAAUAAUGCGGAAAGAAAAAAAGUUAGGACACAAAAGACAACACUGUGCUCUCGUAUAGUAAAGGUGAACUGAGUUCCACUCAAAUGAAAGGCCCGGAGUUGUGUUCCUAAGUUCAGUAACCAGUGUUUCUACCACUUGUUAGGCAUGCGGAAUGUAUGUUUCUAGAAUGGAAAGGAUAGCGAAGAAAUGGGACGCCCCGAAACAGCCGGUCAGCCAACAAAACCUUGCGCCGCCUCUUUUCCCGCUUCCACGCUUCGUCAGUGUGGAGUUAUAAAAAUAGAAAAUAAGGCGUUAGAAUAUAUAUAUAUGUAUAUAUAUAUAUAUAAAUGGAGGAGAGAGAGAGCGAUACUUCUAUUCAUAUGAAAAGAACGAUGCGUUAUUCGGCCAGUAAUAUCCGCUCUUAGUGAUUGUGCUACACAUCAGUGCCGUGCAAAACAACAGGAGGCCCCUAUUUUUAUUGCAAACGGAUGUAUUGUAGGCGCAAACUAUCAUAUUAUGCUAAACUAAGUUUCUCAGAAAUUUUCUUAAAAUUGGUACAAACGACUUGUUCAAAAUUUAAGCCACUGCCCAUAAUUUUGCGGGAUAAACAUAUGCCGCAUUUUUGGGAGUAGCUAAGCGUUUUGUUUGUUCACUAUUUUCUCGGUAAAUGUUGCGUAAAAUAGGUUCCAACUUUGGUGCAUUGGCCUACCUUUCAUUUUCAUUUGAUUAAGUCACUAUUGCGGACAGAACGUCGACAGAAAAGGUAAUUUUAGUAUGGCUCAGCUAAUUCUCAGUCCAACCUUGGGUUCACUUUCUGCGGAGAGCCUAUGU
Dermacentor albipictus is the source of this 2680-nucleotide non-coding RNA. The record is from RefSeq and is a predicted model, not a curated record. Lineage: Eukaryota; Metazoa; Arthropoda; Arachnida; Ixodida; Ixodidae.